AACCAUAGGCCAUGUAUCUGUUCGUGGGACACGUUCAGGUGGACAUUUUGUCUGUGGCGGUCUCCUCCCAAAAGGUAACGGAGGCGCUCAAAGGUUCGCUCAGUACGGUCGGAAAUCGUACGUAGAGUGUAAAGGCAACAGAGAGCUUGAUUGCAAGACAUACAGGUCGAGCAAGGAUGAAAAUCGGACUUAGUGAUCCGGUGGUUCUGCGUGGAAGGGCCAUCG
Molecule: ribosomal RNA, 225 nt
Filed under: Clostridioides sp. ZZV14-6104
Lineage: Bacteria; Bacillati; Bacillota; Clostridia; Peptostreptococcales; Peptostreptococcaceae
Description: partial 23S ribosomal RNA
Rfam family: Bacterial large subunit ribosomal RNA
Source: RNAcentral